GAUGGAUGAUGAUGAUGAUGAUGAUGAUGAUGAUGAUGAUGCCCAUAGUGAUGCCUAUGGUGAUGAUGAUGGACAUUUUCAUUAUCAUCGCUAGUAUCAUCGCUAGUU
Molecule: microRNA precursor, 108 nt
Filed under: Bigelowiella natans CCMP2755
Lineage: Eukaryota; Cercozoa; Chlorarachniophyceae
Description: miRNA EPrBNAG00000013285
Source: RNAcentral